AUGAGGAUACGAGACUUAUACGCCUUUCCACAGUGCGCUCGCGUGGUCCCUUUUCGUAGCUCGCCGCGCCCAUCGUUAGGCGUCGUCAUGGGACGUGGAACAGAACGCUCGAGGUCGUUCCGUGCUAGCCUGAGCCAUCACGGGACGGGCUCACGGCAGUGGACGUGUGUGUGGGGUCCACCAAAUGGGGAAAUUGUGGAGUGUUUCAGGUGUGGGCGGCUGACAAGCGGUGAAACCGACCAGGGAAGGGGAGCCAGCGCCUGCUCUCCUUAUCUCUGGGAUUCCACCUUUCAUACGAAUUUGUUCCCCCGUGAUCCGUUGAAUCGAACCCCCAUGUCCCCGCCGCCGGUGACUCGUUUGCUGCGUCCCAGGUUUCCACUAAGAGAGGAGUCAGCAGAUAAUUUGGAACAUCCAGAUCCGGUGCCGUUGGCGCUACUGCCACGCCGCGAGAUCCGGGGAAGGAAGAAUGCUUCGCCAACUAGGUCUCCACAAUCCACGGGGGAGGUUGAGGCUGGGGAGUACACCACCCUGGAACAAUCCAUCCAGAAAUAUGCAGAAGAACCUAGUAAGAGUGUGGUGAAGCCUGAACUUGGUCUGAGUUUUGACUUGUCGGGUGAGGCGUAUGACUUUUACAAUUUGUAUUCGUGGGUGGUUGGCUUUGGGAUACGCUAUGGUAAGAGUAGAUUGAACGAUAAGAGGACGAAGAUAAUGCAGGAGAUCCUGUCCGGCUGUGCGGGGAAGCCGGAGGUGAAGAACAGCCGGUCAUGCAGGUGCAGUGACAAGACAAGUCUGUAUGACAUGCCAUUCGGUCUUUUUGUUCGGGUGAACCACCAUUUCCAGAGUGUUAUACUGAUCAAAAGAGAGCUAUGGAAGUUGCAAUUCAUAAGUGUAUCCACACACCGUGCACAGAUGGUGCAAAAUGGCACUUCUAAACCACGACAAAAUGGUGCUGUGAGGCGAACAAAUCUGGCUAUUGAGCGUCAUGCGAGCAAAAUAUACACGAAGGCUAUGUUCAAGCGGUUUGGGCAAGUGGUGUAUGAGGUCAACAUCAAGGAAGACGGGACUGAAUUUGAGUGUGAGUGUGGCGAGUUCGAGCACACAGGCAGGUUGGCAAACAGUCGGGAGAGGGCUGAGCAAACGCACAAAGAUUCUGUAGCAUCAGAUGACUGGGAAGGUCACAAAAGAACGACAUGCCCGGGGAUGCACCGAAGCAGCCAUGUAAAGCCCGGCAAGUGUAAAAACUGUGGGAUCGAGGGGCACCGCCGGAACUCAUGCACAUGA
Molecule: ribosomal RNA, 1281 nt
Filed under: Triticum aestivum (bread wheat)
Lineage: Eukaryota; Viridiplantae; Streptophyta; Magnoliopsida; Poales; Poaceae
Description: partial small subunit ribosomal RNA
Source: RNAcentral